CUCCUCCUCCUCCUCCUCCACCACCAUGGUUUCUCCCCUUGCUCGCCUAUUCUCUCCUCUCUCCUCCUCUUCUUCCUCUCCUUCCUCCUCCCCAUCCUCCUGCUCCUCCUUUCCUCCCUCCAAGGUUGCCCAUCGUCCUCCCCCGCUCUCUCCUCUGUCUUCUUCCUCUAGCUCCUCCUCCUCCUCCUCCUCCUUGCUUUCUCCAAUCCCGCCUUCCCUCUUUCCACCCUCCUUUCCCUCUUCCUCCAGCUCCUCCUCCUUGCUUUCUCCCCUCCCUCCCCCCCAUCUCCACCCUCCUCUCCCUCUUCCUUCAGCUCCUUUUCCUCCUCCUGCUUCUAUUGUCUUCAUUCUCCUUACCCACAUUGUCCUCCUUUACCACUGACUGGCUGGACUUGCAGGAUCACGGAUGAGGACGACCUCAAGAUCUACUUUCCAAGGCUGCCCUCACUGUCCUCCCUGUAUUCUCCCAUUUCUUCCUCCUCCUUACCCUACUCCCCCCUUCCUACUUCUCCUCUUCCACAGGUUUCUCCAGUACCAGCAGAUGGGAGUCGGAUCUUCACGGAGGAGAACAACAUUUCUCUUCAGAGGCCGCCCUCUGUCUCCUCCUCUUGCUCCUCCUGCUGCUCCACCUGUUGCUCUUCUUGUUGCUUCUGCUGUUCUCGCUGCUAUUGCAACUCCCCCUGCAGCUCUUGCCCCCUCCCUGCUGUCUGCUCUCCUCCUUCCUCUCUGUCUGUUUCUAACACCUGUCCUUGUGUUUCUCCUCCUCAGCCCCCGCAGGUCUCCAAGCCCACUUUGGCUACUCGGGCUCCUGUCAAGCCUUGUGCUCCAGCAGCGGUUCUGAGCGGCCGAAUUGGGCAGGUCUCCAAGCCCACUUUGGCUACUCAGGCUCCUGUCAAGCCUUGUGCUCCGGCAGCGGUUCUGAGCGGCCGAAUUGGGCAGGUCUCCAAGCCCACUUUGGCUACUCGGGCUCCUGUCAAGCCUUGUGCUCCGGCAGCGGGUCCGAGUGGCUGAAUUGGGCAGGUCUCCAAGUCCACUUCAGCUACUCAGGCUCCUGUCAAGCCUUGUGCUCCGGCAGCGGUUCUGAGCGGCCGAAUUGGGCAGGUCUCCAAGCCCACUUCAGCUGCUCAGGCUCCUGUCAAGCCUUGUGCUCCGGUAGCGGGUCCGAGCGGCCGAAUUGGGCAGUUGUCCAAGCCCACGUCGGCUACUCGGCCUCCUGUCAAGCCUUGUGCUCUGGCAGCGGGUCCGGUUCCAAAGUGGGUAAGGAACCUGCGGGCCCUCAUGAAGCAGCGCAACAGCCAGCAUGGCUGCCUGACAGGUAAGAGAGGUGCUGGGCCUCCAGCAGGCCAACCUCCAGGUCAGAGGUCUCGCAAUUAAACUCUUACAUUUAAUAUAGUUUAAGUCCAGUUUUUUUUUUUAAGUUUAACUGAACAUGAUUUAUGUUGGAUGUGAUCUGGUCAGACUUUAUUUGAAUGAAUCUGUUGUGAUGAUGUCUGAUCGAUCUAUUCCAACUUUAUUUGAAUAGAUUUUAUCUUAUUCUGCUUUAUAUAUUUUCUCUUUGUAUAGUGUGAUUUAUGUUGGAUGUGAUUUGAUCAGACUUUAUUUGAAUGAAUCUGUUGUGAUGAUGUCUGAUCAAUCUAUUCUGACUUUAUUUGAAUGAAAUUAAAUUGACUAUCUAUUGUUUGUGGCCCUGCGAUGGACUGGCGAGCUGUCCAGGGUGUCUCUGCCUUCGCCCUGAGUCGGCUGGGAUAGGCUCCAGACCCGCGUGACCCUACAGAGGAUCAAGCGGAGUAAAGAAAAUGGAUGGAUGGAUGGAUGGAUGGAUGGAUGGAUUUUGUGUGAUUCCAACUGAACUCUGUCCUUGUGAGUGGCACUCAGGUCAGGGUGCCUUUCAGAGGUGUGGGUGGAUCUGGGGGGUAGCGCCCUCACAGUGAAGCUCCGCUCUGUCUAAAGGUGAGAAGGAUGCAGACAGCAUGUCAUGAAGUAGUAAUAUGUGUGUCUGCGUCCCAUCCUGGACCACAGUGGAGUCCACAGUGACAAGGACCAGAGUUCAGUGGAAUCACACUGGGGGAGGAAGCUUUCAUGGGCCGCUGCACAGCAGUGGCCCGUGACAAGGUAAGUUUUAGGUUUUGAUUUUAUAUUCAUAAUACACAAAGUUUUUAAAUAUCCAAUAGAAGGUGAGAAAUAUUCUGACAUGUUCUCCUGUUGUUUUUUUCAGCCCCAGGUCCCAGCUCCAGCAGACCCAUGAAGAUGACCAACCGAGCCCAGCAGAGACGACCCCAGAGACUACAACCAGACGACAGGACAACUUUCUAGGGAGCAGAAUGCAGUGCUGCUUCCUGGCCCCCAACGAUUUCAACAAGGAUGGAACAUCAAGGAGAAAAAAGUCAUUAAGAAGAAAAGGAUGAUGGGAACUAGAUCCAGGAGCAGUGCAUAAGAUGUGAGACCACUCAACUAAAACAAGAGCUCUCUCUCCAAGACACCCAGUAAAAUGAAGGAUCAAAUCAGGACAAGAAACUAGAUAAAGAGCAGCCACAGUAUGUGAACUCAGACAAUGGAAGAGGGGAUGCUUAUUAUAGUGACACAAAAGGAGGAAGUCGGAGUACAAAGAAAAAGCCACACAGCCACAGAGAGAACAUGGAUGGAAAGAACCAGACGACCAGCAGAUUUGUACCAAUAUAAAUACAAUGAACCUAGUGACAGUGUAUUGUUAUAUACUACUACUGAAUGUGAAUCUCACACAUGUUUCUGUGAUUCUUUUCUCCCAACACUGUGACUUCAGAAUCUAAGAAGAUAAAGAAACAGUUCGAGGAGCCUCCAGACAAUCAACGACAAAAGAAACAUGUCAGAGAACAGGAGGAAGAUGAAUAACAGGAUCAAAGAGAGAAAAAGAAACAGACCCAAGAAGAAGAAGAAGAGACAGACCCAAGAAGAAGAAACAGACCCAAGAAGAAGAAGAAACAGACCCAAGAAGAAGAAGAAGAUCCAAGAAGAAACAGGCCCAAGAAGAAGAAACAGACCCAAGAAGAAGAAGAAACAGACCCAAGAAGAAGAAGAAGAUCCAAGAAGAAACAGACCCAAGAAGAAGAAGAAACAGACCCAAGAAGAAGAGCUCCAGAUUACUCCGAAGGUAUCUCUGGAUCUGGAGCUACAAGUUUAGAUCUGCUGUUACUGGCCUCACCCACCUGCAAAGAGUUCAUGUUCUCUCCCUCCUCUGUACCCUCAUUCCAAACGGAGGUUUUUUUUUCAACUUCCUGGCAACAGAAAUUUUUUUUCCUCCACACUGCUGCCAAAUGUUUGAUCUGAUCAAACUGCAAUAAGAGAGAGUCUUAAAUAAAAAGCCAAAACAAGAGAACUGUAUCUGUUUGUUCAGACGUUUGACAUUAUGGACUCUUCCUGUAACCUUAUUCUAUGGUUAGAAAAUCACGUUAGUCUAAAAAUGUGUUUUCAAAGCACUGGUUUCUCAUAAACACCUGUGACUCAGACAAACUGUCCAGCAUUUGCAUGUAUGAAAGGUUGUUUAAUAACUUGGGAUAAAUAUACAGGAUAGUAUUUUCACUGAAUACACAAAUGCUGCUUAUUUUCGUGUUAACAGACAGUUUUGGGUUAGUUGUUCUUUCCAGUGCUUGUUUAAUUUACAAAAAACACAUUAGAUAAUGAUAUAAGAAAGUGAAAACAAUAUAACAACUCAAAUCACAAAUAGAAAAUAUGAAGUAAAACACAUCCAAAUCAGAGAGACAGCACCCAUGACUACAUGUCACCUCCUGAUUGUGUUGCCUUUACUGAAGUCCAGAAGUUUAACAGGUGCAGCAGCUUCUGACCUCUGUGGACUGAGCUGAAAUCCAUUCCAGAGCAACAAAAAUCUGAUUAUUUUAACCUACUGAUAGGUUCUUCUUCCCUCCUACUACUCUCUGCUCUUCCUGCUUCAUCCUGGAUUCUAAAUAAUCCUAGUUAUGAUGGACUUUAAUAUGUAGCUAUGGUCUGAUAACUAAUAAACAAAUGCUGCAUUUCUAAACCAAAAAAAAGCUACAUUU
Molecule: long non-coding RNA, 4031 nt
Organism: Amphiprion ocellaris (clown anemonefish)
Lineage: Eukaryota; Metazoa; Chordata; Actinopteri; Pomacentridae
Exons: 5
Source: RefSeq, a predicted model, not a curated record